ACAGAAACCAAUCAGCACUACCAGUGGUCGAUGAGAAGGUUUUCGCAAAUAUUGGAAAAGCUACAUCCCGUUUCUGUGGCCGGCGCUCUCCUGGGUGCAUCUUUGCUUCAGCAACAGAAUGGCAGCCAGUGAAGGGGCUGAAAGGAUGUAGGAAUUCCUUUGUUCAUCCCUGCAGGAUGCACAGAAAUGAAGAAAAUACAAAAAUAUGACACAUUUAGAUGCUUGGUACGCAGAAAGCCCUGGUGGUAUUACUGUGCCAAAAGAAACAGAUGAC
This is a long non-coding RNA of Carcharodon carcharias (great white shark), 274 nucleotides long. RefSeq lists it as uncharacterized. NCBI's taxonomy places the organism in Eukaryota, Metazoa, Chordata, Chondrichthyes, Lamniformes, Lamnidae. The transcript has 3 exons. The record is from RefSeq and is a predicted model, not a curated record.